AUCUAAAAAUUGUUUAAUUAUUUUUGUAUUUAUUUAUAUUUUAUUGAUUUAAAAAAAUUGUUACAAAUAAGAAUCGUGAUUUAUGUGAAUCGGCAGCUAGUGCUGUUGGCAGCACGCUAGGACACGCCCCCUGCUCACGCUGGGCGCUCCAUGCCCACGCAAAGGGCGAAACUGCACGCAAUCAGCGCACCUGGGACCAAUCAAAACAAGCAGCAUAAAGACCAGCGUACCCAUGGAGCCUAGGCCGGAAAGUAGUUUCUCUUUGCAGUAAGCAUCCUGUCUCCGACUUCCACUCUCACGUACUUAUUACCUUUUUGUCCCGUCUCUCAUGUCCUUCCUGUUCCCUGUGAUGGAGUUGUGUAUCUCCACUUCCACCUGGAUUCCGAACUGCCUCCCUCCAUCCUCGACCCCUGCUUGGACACGGACCUUGUGGGUUCUCUGCAGCCCCGGACCACUUGAUUGCCCAGGGACUUCCUCUUUGCCUCGCCCCUGUGGACUGACCAAGGAGUCAUCCAACACGCACUGGCUCAGACUGCAGACGUGUGUUCUCCUGCGAGGAACCUCUGGAGGAACCCGGCAGGUGGAGGGCCAACAGGUGCAGGUUCAGGCGCCAACGACUGCUUUAGUUUGUGGUGUGAGGCUGCAAACAUCCAGGAGGGGGCAGUGUGGCGUCAUCCAUCUUCUGCUCUGGUCUGUGGGAGAAGGUCCAGAUGUUGGAGGAGGACCCAGACAGGUAAUGCAUGUACACACACACAACUUGGCAGGACAUUUCUUCCCCACCUGUGACUCCACCUGUGUCUCCAUCUUUCUAUCAGGGGAUAGACAGAGGGGGAAAUUGUGGGCACAAGAGGGGGAAAACAACAGCAAACACAUCAACAAGAGCGACAUCAGCAAAUAGGAUAUGUACAAAUAUGAUUGGAAAAGUGAUGGCAAAGAAGCAGUUAGUGAAAUAAAUAAUAAUAUAGAAUGACAAUGAGCAUUAUUACCCUACAAAUGGAUCAAUACAAAUACCAAUAGAAAUACCACUAUUGAUCAUGAACAAUACCAAUAAUUGGCCUCUAUUACCAACAAUACAGUUGUUCAAAUGCAACAAUAUAUACCGUAUUUCCUUGAAUUGCCGCCGGGUAUAUAGUAUGCACCUGCCUAGAAUUACUGCCGGGUCGAACUCGUUUCGCAAAAUAUUCAGCGCAUGCUUAGCAUUUCCACAGGGUCAAACUCGUCACGUCACGAGUGACACUUCACCAGUCAUCAUUUUCAAAACGGAGGAGGCUGAUUUCAAUCAUUUGAAAUCGCAUAAAGGGAAGAAGAUUAAGAGCUAUUCAGUAGGAUUUAAGGUCCAAGCUAUUGAAUGUGCUAAAAAGAACAGUAAGCAGCUAUGUUUUAUUAAUAUACCGUAGCUGCGUGUGUCAAAUAUGAGUCAUUAAAUGACUCCCGCCUCCUGGUGGUAGAGGGCGCUAGUGAUCCUUCUUGCGACUACUUGGCUGCAGAAGAAGUGACAACAAGCAGCCAUCGUUUAUUUUUUCCUCUCACUUGCACUUUUAACAUGGAGGAUUACAUAUCUAAAAUAAAACAGUUUUCUAAACUGGACUUUCAAUGGAAGCAGGAGGUAAUAAAAGAAGAUCUCCAUCGAGACAGAGAGACUUUUAAAACUGAAGAAAGAUAAGGAAGACUUCUAUAAACAAGUUAUCGAUGCUGUUGAUCAGAAGGAGCUGCGCAUGGACUUCAUUUAUAAGUAAAGGUAAGACCAUAAUAACGUUUUUUUUUUUUUAAAUGUGCUUUUCAUGAUGGUAUCCUUACAUCACACUCAAAUUUAUAAGCGCAGGCCUAAAUUUGUCGCAUGCCUUUGGUAAGUGCCGGAGUGAGAAGAGGUUUUAAAUUAGUUAGUUACUCGGCGGCAAUUCAAGGAAAUACGGUAUACGUAAUGAUGUCAUGUCGAGGGGCUCGCAGCUCGUUGCGGGGUUUGUUCUCCCAGGAUGCUAACGGACUACUCUGGACCAGGCGUGGAGGUAGGUACAUAUUUAAUAUCUUCUCUCAAAAAUUUACAAAAAAAAAAAAAAAACGGGAAACAAGGCUGAUCGCACUUGGAGUUCUAGUAAACUACUAGCAUCCACACCGGACUCUGUCAUCCAUGUCUUUACGGACCUUGUGUUGUGCACUAAUGCACAGUCAUGGUGGUAGAGGUAGCGGCACUCCAAACUGUUCCCACAAGGUUGGGAGAAUGGAAUUCACCAAAAUGUUUUGGUAUCCUGCAGCGUUCAAAGUUCCCUUUCACUGGAACUAAGGGGCCAAGCUCAACUCCUGAAAAACAAGCCCACACCAUAAUUCCUCUGCCGACGCAUCUCUCGUCAGUUUACGUGGCCGACCACUUGGUGGAUAAGUUGCUGUUGGAAUAUUUAGGAGGGAAUUUCACAACUGGAUUUGUUGCACAGGUGGCAUCCUAUGACAGUUCCAUGCUGGAAAUCACUGAGAGCGGCCCGUUCUUUCGCAAAUGUUUGUGGAAACAGUCUCGAUGCCUAAGUGCUUGAUUUGAUACGCCGGUCCAAGUGAUUAGGACACCUGAUUCUCAUCAUUUGGAUGGUCGGCCAAAUACUUUUGGCAACAUACUGUAUUUAUGCUGCGAUAUUAGCAUUUUUUCCCUUGUCACCUGCGGACGGUAAACCCGGUAAGCGCGCCCGGUGGUGGUGAGGCGGGCAGACGGCAGCCUGGAUAAAUAAACAGGAGAGCAGCACCGUGGCCCCCGCCUGCCUGCCAUCCAUCAGCGUUACAGUGCACACUGGCAGCCUAAUCGGCCGCUUAUGGGCCCGCGGAAUGACCAAAACAUCUGCUGGUGCACAUGCUUCGGUGUCAUACCACGUCGGGAUGGAGCGGUGACAAAGUCUGCACUGCUUCCAUCGCCAACAUCCAAUUGAAAACUUUGGAAAGUCCUGAAAUGCCAGUGAGGAGGGGAAUCGCUUUUUCAUGGAUUGAUGCAAGAGAGGCAGGGACCCUUGGUGUGGGCCCCUCAGAGGGGGUGUGGGCCCCUCAGAAGUGAAGAGGAAAGCACAAAGUAACUGUUUGGGAGAUGGAUAGUUUUCAAGGCUCCCGCAGCACAAAUGCAGGGAGAAUCUCUUGUCUGGAAGUCAAAGGUUUUGCGUUUGGACCAGAUGUUCCUCCGAGGGAAUUGAAGUCGCUGGUCAACCCCAAGUUCUUUUGAUGACACAUAAGCUGAUUUUAAAUAAAUCCCAGACAGAAUAGGUAUUUUGACAUUUUAUACCAAAGCUUUGGAGAGACCAAUCUCUGAACAACACAUUCAAAUCGCAUCGCCCAAGUUGAUCUGAAAACACUACGGAUGUUGUGAACCGGCUUCCGGAUCACACAUCUAGUUUGUUUAAGUCCCUUUUGUAUUUUCAUAUUAUGUAUUUUCUUAUGUUUGUACUCUAUUUGAGCACUUCCUUGUUUACAUUCGUUACCAUGGUUUUCAUCAUCUGUUUCACCUGCUCUUACUUUCGGAUGCGCACCGGUUCCUGAUUGUUGUGUUGAUAUUUAAGUCCACCUGUUACCUCAGUUCCACCUGGUUUGUUCGUUAGCUCAUGCAACAGCUACCCGAGUAAUUUCUCCUUGUAUGCACUCUGCUAAGUUUUAGCUUAGCUUCGCGCUCUCGGUUCGCGCUAUUGUUUGGACUUGUGAACUCUACCCUUGCUAACUUUAGCUCCCUGCUAUCCGUGCAUUGGCACACUUUUAUUUUACCCCUUUGUACUAGUGUUCUUUUGUUGUAUUUAUCAUUAAAACUUGCUCCUACCUUCACUCCUGCCUGUCUGGAAGUCAAAAGUGUUGCGUUUGGACCAGAUGUUCCUCCGAGGGAAUUGAAGUUGCUGGUCAACCCCAAGUUCUUUUAAUGACACAUAAACUGAUUUUAAAUAAAUCCCAGACAGAAUAGGUAUUUUGACAUUUUAUACCAAAGCUUUGGAGAGACCAAUUUAUGAACAACACAUUCAAAUCACAUCGCCCAAGUUGAUCUGAAAACAGUACGGAUGUUGUGAUCCGGCUUCCGGCUUUCGGAUCACAACAUCUAGUUUGUUUAAGUCCCUUUUGUAUUUUCAUAUUAUGUAUUUUCUUAUGUUUGGACUCUGCCGAUCCCAUUAUUUGAGCACUUCCCGACGUAACAACGGAAGUCUUGCCUUUUUCAAUACGCCACUAGCCCUCACCAACAACAACAACAACAACAACAACAAUUCUUUGCUUUUGUUGACAAAAAACAAUCAAGGUGGAUUUUUGUUUUGUUUUGCUUUUUCCUUGCAUUUUCACUGCAGGACCAGAACUCCCAAGAUGAAGAUUGGAGAAAAAAUACAUUUUAAUAGUAAUACUAGUAAUAAUAGUGGAGCAACUCGAGGGUUCCAGGUUCCAUCCCCACUUCUGCCGAUGUGUCCUUGUGCAAGGCACCUGCUUUCCUUUCACCUAUUAACAGUAAUCAUAGUAAUAAGUACUUCAAGGUAAAACAUGACUGCUGUGUACAAUAAAAACAAUGUAACACUUAUAUAUGAAUGUUGGGAAUAAUACAUGAAUGAAUGCUUCAUUUCAAAGAAUAAAUAACAAUAAAAGUAAUAACAGAAUGUAUGAACAUUAAAUAUCUGAAUGUCGAUAUUAUGAAGUAAAAAUAGAAUGUUAUAACUAAAUGUAUCUUCAAUUUAGAUUUGUACUUUAAUGUUAUGUAACAAAUAUGUGAAUAUACUGCAAUGUUAUUUUUAGCAGAGUACUUGUCUUGUACUUGAUGUACUCCUACUUCCGAGUCACUUUGUCAAGUACUAGUAAGGGAAGAGAUGAUGAAGUACUUGAAGUGUGUUUUGAAUAAGUACACUUUUGUGCUGAGAUUUACUAGCAAUUCUAAGAGAGAAAAAACUCAAAUAGAAUUUGAAAAUCCAAGAAAAUAUUUUAAAGACUUGGUCUUCACUCGUUUAAAUAAAUUCAUUUUUUUUUUUUUUACUUUACUUCUUCUAACUUUCAGAAAGACAAUUUUAGAGAAAAAAUACAACCUUAAAAAUGAUUUUAGUAUUUUUAAACACAUAUACCUUUUUACCUUUUAAAUUCCUUCCUCUUCUUUCCUGACAAAUUUAAAUCAAUGUUUAAGUAUUUUUUUUUUUUUAUUGUAAAGAAUAAUAAAUACAUUUUAAUUUAAUUCUUCAUUUUAGCUUCUGUUUUUUCGACAAAGAAUAAUUUUGAAAUAUUUCUUCAAACUUAUUAUCAUUAAAAAAUUAAAAGAAAAUAUUCUGGCAAAUCUAGAAAAUUUGUAGAAUCAAAUUUAAAUCUUAUUUCAAAGUCUUUUGAAUGUAUUUUAAAAUUUUUGUUCUGGAAAAUUUAGAACAAAAUAAUGAUUUGUCUUUGUUAGAAAUAUAGCUUGGUCCAAUUUGUUACAUAUUCUAACAAAGUGCAGAUUGGAUUUUAACCUAUUUAAAACAUGUCAUCAAAAUUCUAAAAUUAAUAAUAAUCAGGAAAAAUUACUAAUGAUGUUCCUAAAAUAAUUUUUUUAAUUUUUUCAAAAAGAUUCGAAUUAGCCAGUUUUUCUCUUCAUUUUGUUUGGUUGAAUUUUGAAUUUUAAAGAGUCGAAAUUGAAGAUAAACUGUUUAAAAUUUUAAUUUUCUUUUUUUUUCGUGUUUUCUCCUCUUUUAAACCGUUUAAUUAAGUGUUUUUUUCAUCAUUUAUUCUCUACAAAAAACCUUCCGUAAAAGGAAAAAAAUGUACGACGGAAUGACUGACAGAAUUACCCGUUUUUUUAUACAUAUAUAGAUUUAUUUAUUAAAGGUAAAUUAAACAAAUUGGCUAUUUCUGGCAAUGUAUUUAAGUGUGUAUCAAACUGGUAGCCCUUGGCAUGAAUCAGUACCCAAGAAGUAGCUCUUGUUUUGAAAAAGGUUGCUGACCCCUGAUGUAAACUAUGUACUUCAACUCUGCUUCUCCGUCAAACACACCAUCAGCAGCUUCACCAGAGUUUCAUGGAGAAAUGUUUAAAUGUUAUCAUAUUAUAUGAAACAUGGACACCAGCGAACAUGAAGGAUGUCCAGAUCAGAACGUUUGGCCUCAAAUCCAAGUUCAGGUCCAGACUUGGUACUUUGGGACUAGUUGACUUCAUCCAUCUGCUGCCAUGAAAAAUGGAUGCAGCGGCUAUUGAUUGUAUGACUUUACAAAUGAAACAUAAGCCAUUUGAUAUAUUUUGCUGUCAAAAUAAAAGUGAUAUAGAGUUAUGUUCUAUUUGAAA
Molecule: long non-coding RNA, 6226 nt
Organism: Nerophis ophidion (straightnose pipefish)
Lineage: Eukaryota; Metazoa; Chordata; Actinopteri; Syngnathiformes; Syngnathidae
Exons: 2
Source: RefSeq, a predicted model, not a curated record